RNAcentral lists this ribosomal RNA (473 nucleotides) under uncultured Desulfocapsa sp. RNAcentral describes it as "bacterial SSU rRNA". It matches the Rfam family "Bacterial small subunit ribosomal RNA", at positions 916 to 1381 of the family's 1533-position model. Lineage: Bacteria; Pseudomonadati; Thermodesulfobacteriota; Desulfobulbia; Desulfobulbales; Desulfocapsaceae. The record is from RNAcentral.
GACGGGGCCCGCACAAGCGGUGAGUAUGUGGUUUAAUUCGACGCAACGCGCAGAACCUUUACCUGGUCUUGACAUCCCGAGAAUUUUCUGGAAACAGAGAAGUGCCUCGCAAGAGGAAUUCGGUGACAGGUGCUGCAUGGCUGUCGUCAGCUCGUGUCGUGAGAUGUUGGGUUAAGUCCCGCAACGAGCGCAACCCUUGUCUUUAGUUGCCAUCAUUAAGUUGGGCACUCUAAAGAGACUGCCGGUGUCAAACCGGAGGAAAGGUGGGGAUGACGUCAAGUCCUCAUGGCCUUUAUGACCAGGGCUACACACGUACUACAAUGGCAGGUACAAAGGGCAGCCACUUAGCGAUAAGGCGCGAAUCCCGUAAAACCUGUCUCAGUCCGGAUUGGAGUCUGCAACUCGACUCCAUGAAGUUGGAAUCGCUAGUAAUCGCAGAUCAGCACGCUGCGGUGAAUACGUUCCCGGGCCUU